GCUCUAAGGUAUGUUGCAAGG
Molecule: unclassified non-coding RNA, 21 nt
Filed under: Dictyostelium discoideum
Lineage: Eukaryota; Evosea; Eumycetozoa; Dictyosteliales; Dictyosteliaceae
Source: RNAcentral